This is a non-coding RNA of Maylandia zebra (zebra mbuna), 483 nucleotides long. Lineage: Eukaryota; Metazoa; Chordata; Actinopteri; Cichliformes; Cichlidae. The record is from RefSeq and is a predicted model, not a curated record.
GGUAUUGCAAAAAAAAGUGUUUAACUCAUGCCUGGAAGUUUUGACUGCUGUCUCUUCACAAACUAGCUAACGUUAGCUUGCUAAAGUGACGCACUUGGUGGAUUAGGAUGUUAAGACUAGCAUGGCGUCGCUCGGCAUCCAAACAUAGCCGCGCGGGACCUACAUGCGUGUUAACUGCAGCUUAUUCGGGAGCGUAUAGUCCACAGCAGAAAUCACAGGGUGACUUAAGGUGUUUCAGACAAAUUCCCCACCCACCAAGCGACAGGUCACCGCUCCUCCAUCCCGGGCGGCCUGCUACCUCAGUCCAUCUGUCUUCAUGAGUAUGGCGUCAGGGAGUGAAGGGCCAUCAUCCACUUCUCACAAACACUCCAACAGGUUAGCUAAGGAGAGGUCACCAUACCUGCUACAACAUGCGCACAACCCUGUCGACUGGUAUCCAUGGGGGAAGGAUGCUUUUGACAAAGCAAAGAAUGAAGACAAACC